CCCCUAAUCCUGUCAAACUUCCAAAAGAAUUUCAGGACAGGCUGACGGAAGAUCACGUUCCCUGUGCUGGCAGCGGCGGCUGCAUGCGGCGGCGGCUGCUUUUAACCUUUUGUGGGUGGGUGGAGGAGAAACGCCUGCGUUAGCGAGGAGGACAGUGAGGAGCUGGCCUUUGAGAGGAUGGGAAUCGAUGGAAGGAGGCAGGUUUCAGUUCAACGAAGCAAACAGAGCUGGAAGCGAGAGGACUAGCAGGUUAUCCAGGGCACAUCCUUCUCACAGUACCAGUGGCAGCAUCAUGAGAACAAUCACACAUGUGCUUCUUAAGACUCUGUUUCUGAUGACUGCAGACAUCCUGAGAUAAGUGGAUAUCUAAGAAGAUCCCUAACAAUCGCCACCUCGUGGUAUUCAUACCUUUGUGUAAUCCCUUCCUCUUCAGUAUGGCCAUGGUCAGAUGCCUUGCUUCAAACUAAUAUAAUAUGGCAAAGGUGAUGGGUUGUUGCUUUCAUGAUUUGGCUACCUAAGAUGGUGACUUCUGCCUUGCUAGCAGACUCUUUGUAUUGUCUUUUCCACUUGCAUACUUUGAUAAAGUGGCCCACAUGGCAGGGAACUGAAGGCAGCGUCCGGCCAACAGCCCAUGAGGAAAUUAAUCCUGCUGACAACCACAUGAGCUUGGAAGUGGAUCCAUCCCCAGUUGAGCCUUGAGAUGCCUGUAGCUCAGCUGACACCUUUACUGCAGCCCAUGAGAGAUCCUGAUGCAAAAAACCCAUUAAGCCAUGCUGAGACUCCUGACCCACAAAAACUAAUUCUGGAACACUGAUUCCGGUUGCAGUAGAAAGAGCAGGGCACUAGGAGUCAGUGCUACGUUCUACUCCAGCCUGUCACAACUCUCUGUGUGAUUCUGGCCAAGCCUUCCCUUCUCUAAGCCUGGUUUUCCCAUCUGUAAAAAGGAUCUUGGACGUCUUGGCUAGGGCUGGAGCAUUCUAUAGCCAGCAAGGUUGGGGACCUGAAGAUGAGUUGCUGCCCUACUUGUCAGCACCACGGUCACCUCCUGCUGCCCUCGGCCUCCUGGUGCCAGUCACUCAAGCCAGUAGGAGACAGCAGUGGGAGAAUGGGAUGAAUGCAGCAAAGUCACCUGCCAGAUCAAGGCUCCCCAAAAGGAGAGAAAAGACCCCCUCAGGGCUUACGAGAGAAGAAGUCCCUUAAAGGCACACUUUGAUGGCUUAAGAGAUAUGAUCCUAUCAAGAAACACUUGCAGUGAAUUACAGAGAACUUGCAGACUCCUAAAAGCAUGUGAAGACACAAAAUAACU
Molecule: long non-coding RNA, 1306 nt
Organism: Choloepus didactylus (southern two-toed sloth)
Lineage: Eukaryota; Metazoa; Chordata; Mammalia; Pilosa; Megalonychidae
Exons: 5
Source: RefSeq, a predicted model, not a curated record